This 497-nucleotide ribosomal RNA is filed under the name uncultured bacterium. Its description in RNAcentral is "partial 16S ribosomal RNA". It matches the Rfam family "Bacterial small subunit ribosomal RNA", at positions 28 to 507 of the family's 1533-position model. The record is from RNAcentral.
GAUGAACGCUGGCGGCGUGCCUAAUACAUGCAAGUCGAGCGAACGGACGAGAAGCUUGCUUCUCUGAUGUUAGCGGCGGACGGGUGAGUAACACGUGGAUAACCUACCUAUAAGACUGGGAUAACUUCGGGAAACCGGAGCUAAUACCGGAUGAUAUUUUGAACCGCAUGGUUCAAAAGUGAAAGACGGUCUUGCUGUCACUUAUAGAUGGAUCCGCGCUGCAUUAGCUAGUUGGUAAGGUAACGGCUUACCAAGGCAACGAUGCAUAGCCGACCUGAGAGGGUGAUCGGCCACACUGGAACUGGGACACGGUCCAGACUCCUACGGGAGGCAGCAGUAGGGAAUCUUCCGCAAUGGGCGAAAGCCUGACGGAGCAACGCCGCGUGAGUGAUGAAGGUCUUCGGAUCGUAAAACUCUGUUAUUAGGGAAGAGCAUAUGUGUAAGUAACUGUGCACAUCUUGACGGUACCUAAUCAGAAAGCCACGGCUAACUACGUG